GUUUCGAAGAGACGGCAACCACACGUACACGUAAGUACUUACAUCGGUGAUGUUGCUUCUGAAAGCAUAAUGGGAAUGCACCAACCGAUGAAGAUGCUUCAGAUCUAGACGAGACUCGUCGACGGCCAGCUGAAGGCCAGACGGUAUUUUCGCCGUUGCGUCGUACACUUUAAAGAGUAAUAAGAGAAUUAUUGGAAACGACGAUCACAGGGAGGAAACCACGACGAAUACAUAUUUCUCGUUCUCUUCUUUGUUUCUCUUCGCUUUGAUGUCGCCUCGUGACCGACGAGGAAUAUUUCAAAAUCAGCCGAACCUUACAGCUGCGGACAAUGGCUCCUUCGCGUGAUUUGCGAGCAUAUUUGGCAACUUUAAUAAAAAUGCUGUAAGACACGAUGUACCGGCUACCGUCGAUGUUCGAUGAUAAGAAGAGUGUUUGAAUAUUUUUAAAAUUGAGAUUGCGGAACGUGGACGAGAAGAUUUAUUGAAAUUCAAUCGUCUCAUGAAUAAUGCGGUUCCUCCGAGAAUGAUGUAACGAAGUAAUAAAGCUGCAAAGAAGAUACGCUUA
Molecule: long non-coding RNA, 565 nt
Organism: Bombus terrestris (buff-tailed bumblebee)
Lineage: Eukaryota; Metazoa; Arthropoda; Insecta; Hymenoptera; Apidae
Exons: 2
Source: RefSeq, a predicted model, not a curated record